AGCAGCAGCCACGGUAAUACGGAGGGGGCUAGCGUUGUUCGGAAUUACUGGGCGUAAAGCGCACGUAGGCGGCUUGGUAAGUUAGAGGUGAAAGCCUGGAGCUCAACUCCAGAAUUGCCUUUAAGACUGCCGAGCUAGCAGGUGAGAGAGGUAAGUGGAAUUCCGAGUGUAGAAGUGAAAUUCGUAGAUAUUCGGAAGAACACCAGUGGCGAAGGCGGCUUACUGGCUCAUACUGGACGCUGAGGUGCGAGAGCGUGGGGAGCAAACAGGAUUAGAUACCCCUGUAGUCCCUGUCUCUUAUAC
RNAcentral lists this ribosomal RNA (303 nucleotides) under uncultured bacterium. Its description in RNAcentral is "partial 16S ribosomal RNA". It matches the Rfam family "Bacterial small subunit ribosomal RNA", at positions 507 to 807 of the family's 1533-position model. The record is from RNAcentral.